UCCUCUUUAUCCUCAUUACCUUUCAACACAGAACAUGAUUACCAACACAAUCAAAAUUGAAAGAAAAAAAUUAUCUUGAUUAGAAUCAAUGAAGAGAAGAAGGGUGAUUUUGAUAAGUGCCUUCAAUUUUGUUUCCUGCGAAGAAAUAAAAGACAAAAAAGACAAAAUAGAAAAAUUUUUUACGAUCGACACCUUGAGGACACAUCAUCAACAACUUCAAGAACUGAAUAUUCAAUAAAAAGAAAUGAGGGGUUUACUUCAGGGCUAUACCCAACAUUGAAAAUAUAGAGGGAGCAAAACAAA
Molecule: long non-coding RNA, 303 nt
Organism: Daphnia magna
Lineage: Eukaryota; Metazoa; Arthropoda; Branchiopoda; Diplostraca; Daphniidae
Exons: 2
Source: RefSeq, a predicted model, not a curated record